This is a long non-coding RNA of Gouania willdenowi (blunt-snouted clingfish), 1660 nucleotides long. The record is from Ensembl. NCBI's taxonomy places the organism in Eukaryota, Metazoa, Chordata, Actinopteri, Blenniiformes, Gobiesocidae.
CGGAUAUUAUCUCCAUGUAGUGCUGGGCUGUUUUUGUCAGCCUGCAGAGAUCUAUCAGCCAAAACUAAAAUUUGGUCAUCGGACUAGCACUGCAAUGGCGAGUGCCGCUGCAGAAAACCAACAGCCUUACAGAAGAUCAUGGAAAAGGAGCACCCUAGACUAUUCACGCAGGUUCCUCUGCUGCUUGUGCCUGGAAAAGGAUCCUCUGCAAGAGCAGGAAAGGAAGAUUGAUAUAGGGUCUCUGCAUCCACACUUGGAUCAACUGGGAUCAGGUGAGAUGAAGGCCAUCCAGAUUACUCUGGAGGACCUGGGGAUAGUUAACAGCAGCUUCAGCCUACUUGACGAAGAACCUCUGACCCCAACGAAAAAUGUAACUCGCUCAAUCAGCUCUGUAUCUGCUUGUCGAAGAGCUUUAAAAAAGAAAAGACUGAAACUACUUUCUUCCUUAUCUUUAGAACCCCAAACCGAACCAUCAGUCACUCCAAACUGUGCGGUAGUUCAGGGGAAAGAAGAAGACGAUCCAUUGCUGUUUGGGAGUGGCACUGAUAGCACUCUCCUCACACCACCGAUGAUCAACUUGAUCCCACCCACUCCAUCUGAUGUUGUAGAUGAUGAUCAGUUCUUUGACAACAAUUCAGAGGAAAGUGUGGCACACAAUAGCGAUGAGGGAUGUUUGACAAGUAGUGAUCAAGAGAGUUAUGAAGAAAAAAGAGAGAUUGUAGAGGAAUCAAAAGAAGGAUCCAUGUUGGCUGUGGAUAAUUCAGACACUGACUGUAAAGUUAAACCUGAAGAUGCUCAAAGAGAUCACAAAAAUAAAGCAGGGCUGCUUAUCAAUGAAGAAAAAGACAAGGAAAAUGCCAACUUUUCAAGUAGCAUCCACAAGGUGACUCAGGUCCUUGACUACCUCCUCAAAAAUGACCUGAGCAAAGGAGGUUGGAGUAACUCUGACAUACUGAAGGCUGAUCUUUCCCUACUUCCUCCUUACAUGGACACAAUGGCCACAUUUACCCACCAAAGGCGGCCAUUAACCCGCUCUUGCAGUCUUGGGGACACACCAAGUCAAAGUGCUACCUUCCAUGGUUUAGCCAAGACCACCGACCAUGUGGGGGGGUCGCCUCGACGACGCAUAACUGUUGCGUCAUAUGUGCCUCACUCUCAGGACCAGAAUGGAAACUUCUGGAACAAGGAUGUAGACGGGCAUGAGUCCAAAUCUCUCAGGGAGCUGAACACUGAAGACGUCUGCCAAUGGUUCACUAGCAUUGGACUGCAGAAAUGUCUCCCUUUCAUCAGAGGUAUUCCUACUUGUGGCUCCACCCCCCAGUGAUGUCCGUGUGCUUGAGGCCAAACUUUCAGGGGCAGAUAUUGCUUCAGUGGAAGUGGAAACUCUAGAUAUUUUACAAAUUGACACACCAGAAGAACGAGAGCAGCUGCUGUCUGCCAUAUACAAUGAGCUUCAUCCUCCCAGCACCGCGUCACAGAAGCUAGACUCUUUGCUCGAGUCCUUGGGAUCAAACAAUGUGGAGACAUUCACAGCAACGCUUGUGUCAAUGACAAAGUCAAAGUCUUUGCCUCAUGUGAGCUGUUUAAGUAUGAACCGGCGAUCUGUCAAGCUCAGGUGGAUCCCUAUAUGUAUUUUACAAAUAUCAAUAUUUUUUCUAAA